RNAcentral lists this small RNA (458 nucleotides) under Pongo abelii (Sumatran orangutan). Its description in RNAcentral is "processed transcript". Lineage: Eukaryota; Metazoa; Chordata; Mammalia; Primates; Hominidae. The record is from RNAcentral.
CCUGAAAAAAGGUUGGGAGACCUAUCCUUUUUGCUUGCCAGUUUAAUAUAGAACUCAAAUGUUGCUUCUACAGAAUAGAAUUGAAGGAGUUAUAAAUACUGAUUACUUUUCCUUUUCUUAAUUAGAUUGUUCAGAUUCCAUUCUGUGGGGAAAUUGACUGUGAGGACUGGAUCAAAAAGACCACUGCCAGGGAUCAAGAUCUUGAACCUGGUGCUCCAUCCAUGGGAGCUAAAAGCCUUUGCAUCCCCUUCAAACCACUCUGUGAACUGCAGCCUGGAGCCAAAUGUGUCUGUGGCAAGAACCCUGCCAAGUACUACACCUUAUUUGGUCGCAGCUACUGAGGGAUGAACGAAACCCCCCUCUUCAACUCCUCUCACUUUUUAAAGCAUUGAUAUUAGUAUCUUCUCAGAUACAGACCGUUUUAUGAUUUUUUAAAAAGUAAAAGUUCUAAAAUGAAG